Molecule: ribosomal RNA, 252 nt
Filed under: uncultured bacterium
Lineage: Bacteria
Description: partial 16S ribosomal RNA
Rfam family: Bacterial small subunit ribosomal RNA
Source: RNAcentral
CACGUAGGUCCCGAGCGUUGUCCGGAUUUAUUGGGCGUAAAGCGAGCGCAGGUGGUUUAUUAAGUCUGGUGUAAAAGGCAGUGGCUCAACCAUUGUAUGCAUUGGAAACUGGUAGACUUGAGUGCAGGAGAGGAGAGUGGAAUUCCAUGUGUAGCGGUGAAAUGCGUAGAUAUAUGGAGGAACAUCGGUGGCGAAAGCGGCUCUCUGGCCUGUAACUGACACUGAGGCUCGAAAGCGUGGGGAGCAAACAGG